CAUCUCUUUUCGUACUUAAGUCUAAUGUAAACCUUAAGAUUGUGUGAGUGAUGUCUAACCGACUUAAAUAUAAUUCAGAGAUUCAAGAAUAAUUGGAAUUGGAACUUAAGAGGACUUGCUGUAUUUCUUAUCUGUACACAUGAGCUGCACAGCAUGGGCAGCAAGCAGAAAGUUUUUAGCUGCUUUACAGGUCCACCUUUUAAGGCUAAUGUGAUUUUUAUACUUAACAGGAUGAAUUAUGUGGUCACUGGGAGGAAGACAAAGACCACUGGAAAACACCCACACAUAGACAGUGGACAAAGGAAGAAAGGUCACUGUUUUCUUCUCCUUUCUGACAUUCAGCCACUGGUUUAUCAGUUUGCUGCCAUGGCACAAGAAAGCGAGGGGAGUCAUCUUUCAGCCCUCCUCUGGAACUGGCUUCUCCCUCCUACAGACAGCCUUUCCCUUGCUGUAAAAUCUUUGUUUAAUGGCUGCAUUCAUUAUGCCGCUACAAAGACAGCUCCAUCUAAACGUCUACUCUGGCAUAAGAAAAUGUUGAACUUCUGUCUAACUUGGGACAAGCUGGUGUAUCUGCCUGAUUGUUUUUAGUUGCUCCUUCUCAUAGAAUGCCCGUUACAUGUGACAGUGGGGAAGCUGAAAGUAGCCUCUGUACCCUCUGUAAUACACUGUGCCCUAUUUAACCACCACUCCUGCCUGUUCUGUCUGCACAACGGAAAUAAGCCCUUGGCUGGCUGUGGAGAACUCUUACUGUGCUCAGUAAUUCCUGUCAGCAGUAAGAAGGUCCGCCCUUUUGCAUCUAAACACGCAUCUAAAACAGCAGAAUCAAAGUUGCAGUGUCGUAGCCAUAAAUGUGAUUGACUCCUCAUCUCCAGCAAUCCCUACAUUUGCCCCUUUGCAUUACAUACCAAUGAGCUAUCUGUAACAAAUACUCAUAUAUGUCUAUCUCAUCAGCCAAUGUGAAUUUGAUUCAGAAAAGCUAUUCUGAAGUCUGUUUAUUUUUCAGUAUUUCUCCCACUGAACUGUGCUGUAGUGAUAUUUUCUCAAACACUGCAGCUUCUCAUUUUUCAAGCUUAAAUUCCAAAGUCAUUUGAUGCUGGGUAGGAGAAAAAGGAGACAUUUAAACACUGCUCUGCAUGCGCUAGCUGCUGUUUCUAUCUAUAUUUCAAGGGUCUGAAGAUUUCUAGAGAUACUUGUUUCUCCUCAGGAUGAUAGUUUGCCCAGACUCCCACACAAGCAUCUUGUAAGAAUUUUACCAAAUAAGAUAGUGUUCUUUGUUCAACCAGCACAGGGAGCUCUGCAAAAUAAAAAAAAAAAUGAUGAAUUUUCA
This 1327-nucleotide long non-coding RNA is filed under the name Coturnix japonica (Japanese quail). Its description in RNAcentral is "lncRNA (ENSCJPG00005005766.1)". Lineage: Eukaryota; Metazoa; Chordata; Aves; Galliformes; Phasianidae. The record is from RNAcentral.